GAUGAAGAACGCAGCGAAAUGCGAUACGUAAUGUGAAUUGCAGAAUUCAGUGAAUCAUCGAAUCUUUGAACGCACAUUGCGCCCGCCAGUAUUCUGGCGGGCAUGCCUGUUCGAGCGUCAUUUCAACCCUCAAGACCCCUUCGGGGGACUUGGUGUUGGGGACCGGCUGUUCCCGGCCUGCUUCUUGCAGCGCCUCUAUGCCGCCCCCGAAAUGAAUUGGCGGCCUCGUCGCGGCCUCCCCUGCGUAGUAGCACAACCUCGCAACGGGAACGUGACGGCGGCCACUGCCGUAAAACAACCCCAAUUUUAUUAGAGUUGACCUCGAAUCAGGUAGGAAUACCCGCUGAACUUAAGCAUAUCAAUAAGCGGAGGA
Molecule: unclassified non-coding RNA, 373 nt
Filed under: soil metagenome
Description: partial contains 5.8S ribosomal RNA, internal transcribed spacer 2, and large subunit ribosomal RNA
Rfam family: 5.8S ribosomal RNA (bases 1-120)
Source: RNAcentral